UGGUGAGUAAUUGUUUAGUA
This 20-nucleotide non-coding RNA is filed under the name Arabidopsis thaliana (thale cress). The record is from RNAcentral. Lineage: Eukaryota; Viridiplantae; Streptophyta; Magnoliopsida; Brassicales; Brassicaceae.